RNAcentral lists this ribosomal RNA (216 nucleotides) under uncultured eukaryote. RNAcentral describes it as "partial 18S ribosomal RNA". It matches the Rfam family "Eukaryotic small subunit ribosomal RNA", at positions 1299 to 1458 of the family's 1831-position model. The record is from RNAcentral.
UGGUGGAGUGAUUUGUCUGGUUAAUUCCGAUAACGAACGAGACCUCAACAUCUUAAUAGGGGAGAAAGCCGUCUAAAUGGGUGAAGUAGAUCUGGUAUCUGGAUCAGCAAUGGUUCAGGUGCACGGUUUAUGGAUCCCGGGCGUCUUAUCUUUUACACACCUCCCUUCUUAGAUGGACUGUUCGGGAUUACCGAAUGGAAGUUUGAGGCAAUAACA